GCUGGAGUGGUGCAAUGGCACAAUCUCAGCUCACUGCAACCCCUGCCACUGCAACCCUUGCCUCCAGGUUCAAGUGCUUCUCUUGCCUCAGCCUUCCAAGUAGCUGGGAUUACAGGCACCUGCCACCACACCUGGCUGAUUUUUGUAUUUUUAACAGAGACGGGGUUUCACCAUGUUGGCCAAGCUGGUCUCAAACUCCUGACCUCAAGUGAUCUGCCUGCCUCAGCCUCCCAAAAUGCUGGGAUUACAGGUGUAAGCCACCAUGCCCAGCCAGGUAUGCAUUUCAUAGUGUAUGAAUCAUACCUCAAAAUUUAUAAAAAUAAAAAAGGAUUUUAAAAAAUGAACAGCCCUUUAGGUAUGGGAGGAGGCGAGGAGUAAGAAAGGUGAAUGGACUCUGCAUUACCACUUGCCGAUCGCUAGAUGUUACCAUGUUACAGUGGAAGGAAUGCAAACAAUAAUUUUUCCCAUUUUUUUUUUUGUUAUGUCCACCAUGUAACCGGACACACAGAAUUUUUUUUUUUUUUUUUUUUUUUUUUUGAGACGAAGUCUCACUCUGUCGCCCAGGCUGGAGUGCAGUGGCGCAUCUCGGCUCACUGCAAGCUCCGUCUCCCACGUUCACGCCAUUCUCCUGCCUCAGCCUCCCGAGUAGCUGGGACUACAGGCGUCUGCCACCAUGCAGCUAAUUUUUUGUAUUUUUUUUUUUAGUAGAGAUGGGGUUUCACCGUGUUAGCCAGGAUGGUCACGAUCUCCUGACCUCGUGAUCCGCCUGCCUCGGCCUCCCAAAGUGCUGGGAUUACCGGCAUGAGCCACCAUUUCCGGCAACAGGCAGACUUUUAACACAUUCCUUACCUAAACUUUUAAAAGGGACAAAAGAUAUAUGCCUUUGGUUUGGGAGAUGACGAAACAUAUGCUUUAAUGACUAUUGGGUUGGAAUCUUCUUGAGAGAGGAUCCUUCUUAGCCUAGACUAGAGUCUUCAAAAGCCCACAGUGCUUCGUAAAGUUUCAUACGUGGAAGAGAGAAGGAUGUUCCACUGGAAAAGCAGAAUUGCAGCUGAGCUGUCCUGAAAUGCCCAGCACUCUGUGGAGACGCGGAGGAGGUUUCCUGGGACAAAGUGCUGAACCAGCUACAGCCACAAGCUGUCUCCACCAUCAGAUGUGGCUUACCUGGUUCCUGAGUCAAUUCCAUCCAGAUGGUGAAGCCAAGGCCUGAAGACCUUUCCUGCAAGGUCGCAGAGGAAGAGGCAGAAGAAGGACCAGAACCCAGCUCCCCUGACUCCCUAUCCAGUGCUCUUCUCAUAGAUUACAUUGCUUCAGCAUCCACCUGGCUAUUGCUCCAUCCAGGGGUUACAGGAGUCACUGACUGUUUUGGUUGCUUCUUGGUUGGAGGAUGUUGUGCCUCACCGAUGAGAGCCGGAAGCAAAGGUACCAGUUCUUAGAGGAAGCAUAGGAAUGUGUCCCUUCCUGCUCGGGUCUCUCAACUGAACUCAACCCUUCCUUGAUUGAUUGACAAGCAUGUUAUCUCUCAUAAUCCCUGCCCGGUAAGGGCUGAUGUCCCCAUUUUACAGAUGAGGAUAUUGGAGCUCAGAGAAGUGAAAUGAUUGCUGAAGGUCACACAGCCUGGCUUCAAGCCUCUCGGGCUCCAAAAGGCAUCUUCUGUUCUCUCCGUCAGGAAGCCUCUUUUGGAUGAUUAACUGAGAUUAAAAAUGAAAAGACACAUGAAAGAAAGGUCCUUUUUUUCAACCUGACAAGAACUAAGAAUGCCUCUGUAUUCCAGGCACCCAGACCAGGGUGGGCUGGAAAGCCAGCCAGAGAGAAAGCAGGAGAAAGAAAGCAUGUUCUAACAGGAAGGUUAAAGCACCCUGGGAUGUGAGUUGGGGUGGAGAAGUGAAGAGGGCAGUUCUCACAGGGGCAGAGCUUGGUUUGGGGUAGGCUAGGAGCUGGGACCAGAAGAGGGACAGGGAAGGGUUUAUUGUGGGUCCACGGCCCAGCUCCACUGCAUGGGCCAUCUGACAGCGCCUGACCGAGCAGAAUGCCAGGGUGUAAAGACCCCACUAAUACCCAGUCAAUGAGAGGAACGCCAGAGGAGCACCCAGAAUGUUCUUGUGCAGAGGCAAAGAGCAGGAGUUUGUGACCACAGCUGGCAGUCCAUGUCAUCCUCACUGAACGACCUCUUAGCAUUCCAGGUGGACAAACAUAUUCACAGGUGCCCAGACAAAUGAGGUCUGCGGGAGAGAGACAGGCUACAUCAGAGGUAGACUAUGUAUUUACAUAAAGUAGGAAUAAGAGUCUCAGAAGCCUUCCAAAGCAGAUGUCUGCUUAAACCUCUUGAGCGGUGCCCUCCUUAGCCUGGAAGGAAGGCCUUGCUCAGGUAGUCUCAACCCGCAUCUGUGGUGUGAUUUAACACCUUCCCCUUCAUUCCACCACACUCUAUCUCAAACUAUCUGUUGUUCUCAAACACACAGAACACUUUCACUCCACCAGCUCUUCCACAUGUGAUUAUCUUUGCAUGUACUUCAUCUUUCUCAUCUACAGCCCCACCUGGCAAACUCCUACUCAGCCUUCAAAACCCUGCCUAAAUGUCACUGAAUCUGGAAGCCUUCUUCAUCUUCUCAGUACACAUUUGUCUGUAUUCCUGAUCCUUUGUCUAUAACUCUGGUAAAUCAUUGAUCCUAGUGCACUGUCAAGAACUUGUCCUAUUUUAUCUGUAGAUUCCCAGAGCCCAAUCAAGAUCCUCACAUGUAGAAAGUAGUAGAUCAAUUAAAUAAAGCAAGCACAGCCAGAAUGGCUGGGAAUUUGAGAGCAUGUGCCCCAGAAUGAUUGUACCUCAGACCUGGAAGAAAAUGUGGAGUUGAUCUAAGUAAACCUGAUGUUUGAACGCCUCAUCUGCAUUCACAGCCUGAGUCACUAUUUACAAUGACCCAGGAGUCUGAUGCCUAAAUGAUACAUUAUCUUCAUGCUCCAGUCUCCCACUGUCUGACUGCCCGGCUCUUCUUUGACGAGAGAUCUCACCGAUUGCGGCCCUUGGCCUUAGGAAGGGUGAUGGGCUGGGCUGGAGGCCUGGGCUGAGCUCUUGGGUGCAGGGGGAGCCUCAGCUUUUCCAGCCCUCAUCCUCAACGGCUGCCUCUGCCAAGGCCCUGGAGCUACAGAAAGCAAGACCAGUGCCUGAGUGCAAUAAAUGCUUUUAUUAGUCCUUUUAUUAAUGACGGUUGGUAUUUGUUGAGAAGCUGGGACAAUAGUUAUUCCAGUAAGAGGAUAUUAAGCUCCCUCAAACAGGCCCUGUAUAUCUAACAGGCUCUGGCCCCCAGCCUCCCCUGACGCAGCUCUGUUACACUGCAGCACACCCCUGGCCUCCCAGCAACUCCAAGAAGGGAGAGGAGGGAUGGGGGAGGUAGGGAUAAUCUGGUGUCAUUAAACACACAGGCCUUUGUGGAGGUUACCGUACACCAACAGCAGGAAGCUUUUUCUUCCUUCUGAGAGCAUAGGGAGCCUAUGUGAUUUUGUUUUUUUUUUGUUUGUUUUGGUUUUUUUGUUUUUUGCUACCCCUGUGCUCCUGGCUAUUUUACCUCCAGAGCUGCUGGUGAUAAGUUGGUAAAGGAGGACCUCCUUAAACCAUUUGUUAAACCAUUUGAGACUGUUCCUAGUACUUGUUUUAAGCUAUUUUACAUGAUUUUUAAUGUAAUAAACACAUUUAUAAUACUAUGUGGUGGCAAUGUUCUGAGUGCUUUUCAAAUACUAAUUUAUUUAAUACUCAUAACGUCUCAAUGAAGUAGGCACUAUACUUAUCCUUAUUUUAUAAAUGAGGAAAUGAGGCCCA
RNAcentral lists this long non-coding RNA (3814 nucleotides) under Homo sapiens (human). RNAcentral's name for it is "HSALNT0065580". The record is from RNAcentral. Lineage: Eukaryota; Metazoa; Chordata; Mammalia; Primates; Hominidae.